AUGUUCUCUCCAUCUCUACUGCUCCUGCUGGCAGCGUCUUCCUAUGUGCAUGGUGAGGAACUGACUCAGCCUGCUUCCAUGACAGUCCAGCCAGGCCAGAGUCUCUCCAUCCACUGCAAGGUUUCAUACUCAGUGACGGGCUAUGGUACAGCUUGGAUCCGACAACCUGCAGGAAAAACUCUGGAUUGGAUUAGAAUCAUCUAUUAUGAUGAGAGCACAGCUUCCAGUGAGAAACUGAAAAAUAAGUUCAGUAUCUCCAGAGACACUGCUACUAACACAAUAACAAUUCGAGGACAGAAUCUCCCGACUGAAGACACAGCUGUGUAUUACUGCGCUCGCUCUCCACAGUGA
Non-coding RNA from Neoarius graeffei (lesser salmon catfish), 351 nucleotides. Lineage: Eukaryota; Metazoa; Chordata; Actinopteri; Siluriformes; Ariidae. The record is from the annotation of a RefSeq genome assembly.